GACGAACGCUGGCGGCGUGCCUAAUACAUGCAAGUAGAACGCUGAAGAGAGGAGCUUGCUCUUCUUGGAUGAGUUGCGAACGGGUGAGUAACGCGUAGGUAACCUGCCUGGUAGCGGGGGAUAACUAUUGGAAACGAUAGCUAAUACCGCAUAAAAUGGAUUAUCGCAUGAUAAUCCAUUGAAAGGUGCAAAUGCAUCACUACCAGAUGGACCUGCGUUGUAUUAGCUAGUUGGUGGGGUAACGGCUCACCAAGGCGACGAUACAUAGCCGACCUGAGAGGGUGAUCGGCCACACUGGGACUGAGACACGGCCCAGACUCCUACGGGAGGCAGCAGUAGGGAAUCUUCGGCAAUGGUCGGAAGUCUGACCGAGCAACGCCGCGUGAGUGAAGAAGGUUUUCGGAUCGUAAAGCUCUGUUGUAAGAGAAGAACGAGUGUGAGAGUGGAAAGUUCACACUGUGACGGUAUCUUACCAGAAAGGGACGGCUAACUACGUG
This 497-nucleotide ribosomal RNA is filed under the name uncultured bacterium. Its description in RNAcentral is "partial 16S ribosomal RNA". It matches the Rfam family "Bacterial small subunit ribosomal RNA", at positions 28 to 507 of the family's 1533-position model. The record is from RNAcentral.